GAGGGCGGGGCUCCCAGCAUCAUCACCACCGGCCAUCACUGCUUCAUUGUACGGAGGCUGCUGCUGCUGCUGCUGAUGCUGACACCAUAGCGGACGAUCUUUUUUCCCCUCCGAAAAAAGGAGCAUGUCAUGGACACGGUUUCACGCAGAUUAGGACUCCUCACAUGACGGGAAUCGAUCUGGAGACGCGCCCUUUUUCUCUGAUAGGAGAAUGAGGAAGAGGAGGAACUGGAAACCACUGGGAGCGCCUUGGAAAGUUUCUGUGACGUCUCAAUGAAAGCAUUAGAAGAGUCUCACUAGUAUUUGACUCAAUGGCCAAGAAAGGGCGUACGAAGAGCGAGAAGCCCGAAGCGCUCAUCUCUGCCCUACAGGCAGCCAAUGAAGAUCUCAGGUCCAAGCUGACUGACAUUCAGAUAGAGCUACAUCAAGAAAAAUGCAAGGUGAGCAAACUGGAGCGCGACAAGCUCCAGGAGGUGAAGCGGGUGAAAGAGCAGGAGCAGCACCGUCACACUGCCAUGUUGACCGAGCAGCGGGCCAAGUGGCACGAGGAAAAGCAGAAGGAGCUCCAAGCUCUGAGGGAAAACCUGACGCGACAGCAUGAGCAGGAGCUGGCCCGCCACGCCAAAAUCAAAGACCAGGAGAACCAGAGGCUCAAAGCCGCGCUGAGCGCAAUGCGCGACGGCAGCGGAGAGAAGGUGCGCACAGCGCUGACCCUGGAAGCGAAGGAGGAUGCACGCCGAUUCUUUGACCAGGAGAGAGUGAAGCUCCUGCAGGAGAUACUGGAGCUGAAGUCCACUAAGAAGCAGACCGACGAGGCUCUCAGCAACAUGAUCCAGUCCGACAAGAGUAAGGCUGGCGACCUGCGGGUGGAGCACCAGCAGCACCAGGAGCAGAUCUCCAAGAUCAAGUGGGACUCUGAGAAGGACAUCCGCAGACUGGUGGAUGAAAUCAAAUCUAAAGACCGCACCAUCUUUGCCCUGGAGAAGGACCUGGAGUCAACGGCGGGUUUCUUACAGAGGCUGCAGCUCCAGAAGGACGCCCUGGACGAACAGCUGUUCCUCGUCAAGGAGGCGGAGUGCGGCCUGGGGAGCCCGAAAAGAGAGAUUCCAGGCAGAGCUGGAGAUGGAGCCGAGCACUGUGGUAGCCCAGACUUGAGGAGAAACCAGAGGCGCCUCGCUGAACUCAACUCGACUAUACGCAAAUUAGAAGACCGCAACUCACUGCUGGUCGAUGAGAGGAAUGAACUGCUGAAGCGAGUUCGAGAGUCAGAGAAGCAGUGUAAGCCAAUGCUGGACAAGAACAAGCUGCUGAGCAAGAGGAAUGAUGAUUUGACUCAGACGAUCCAGAAGCUGGAGGAGAAACUCAAGCACCUGGUCAAGGAGAACCAUGAGAUGAAGGAGAAGAUGAGCUCCCAUGCUCCACUGAAGAAACUCAAGUCUCUGAAUGACCUGGACCAAGCACAUGAUGACCAGGAAAUAGCCUUUCUCAAGCUUCAAGUCCUGGAGCAGCAAAGCAUGAUUGAUGAGUUGACAAGGGACCGAGAAAAACUACUAAGAAAGAAAAGGCAUAAAAGAAGUUCCAGGCCAAUAAAGAGGCACAUCGUAGUAGACACCUUCUUUGGGUACGAUGAAGAGUCUAUGGACUCGGAGACGUCUUCAGUGGCUUCGUUCCGGAUGGACAGAACUCCUGCUACUCCUGAUGAAGACCUGGAGGAGGGUCUAGCCAACGAGGAGUCGGAGCUGCGUUUCCGUCAGCUGACCAGGGAGUAUCAGGCCUUACAGCGAGCCUAUGCCCUGCUGCAGGAACAGAAAGGAGGCAUUCUGGACGCUGAGAUGGAAGCCAGGGCUCAGGAGCAUAUCCAAGCUGACCUUCUCAGGUAUAAAGCCAAAAUAGAGGACUUGGAGAAGGAGCUGAACAUGAAGGGACAGGACUCCAAAUGGGUGGAGGAGAAGCAGCUCUUCUUUCGAAGGAAUCAGGAGCUAUUAGAUAAGGUGGAGAAGCUGGAUUCAGAGAACAGCCGGCUGCAGCAGGAACUACAAGACUCCAAAGAUCAGAAUGAGCUGUUAGAGUUUAGGAUACUGGAGCUAGAGGAGCGUGAGAGGAAGUCCCCUCCGUUCAACCACCUGAGGAUGCAUCCCUUCUCUGAGGGAGUCAGUGCACUGCAGAUCUACUGUAUGAAGGAGGGGGUCAAGGACGUGUGCAUACCAGAUCUCAUCAAACUUCUGGAUAUCCUGGGAGACAACGGGAACUUAAGAAAUGAAGAGCAAGUGGCCAUCAUUCAGGCCAGCACUGUUUUGUCACUAGCAGAAAAGUGGAUUCAACAGAUCGAGGGGACGGAGGCAGCGCUGCACCAGAAGAUGAUGGACCUGGAGAUAGAGAUGGAGAUGUUCUGUAAACAGAAAGGAUAUCUAGAAGAGGAGCUGGACUAUAGAAAACAGGCCCUGGACCAGGCCUACAUGCAAAUCCAAGAGUUGGAAGCAACGUUAUACAACGCCCUGCAGCAGGACAAGGUGAUAAAGUACGGCGAGCCUCUGGAUGAGCUUCAGAAGGACGAGCUGCGGACGGCGGUGGAGAAGCUGAGGAGGCAGAUGCUGAGGAAGAGUCGAGAGUACGACUGCCAGAUCCUCCAGGAGAGGAUGGAGCUGCUGCACCAGGCGCACAAGAGAAUUCGCGACCUUGAAGACAAGACGGAAAUCCAGAGGAGGCAGAUUAAAGACCUGGAGGAGAAGUUUUUGUUUCUGUUCUUGUUCUUUUCUCUUGCCUUUAUCCUUUGGCCUUGAAGUCUUUGGCGUGUCCUGUAGCAGAGGUAUGCUUGGUAAGGGUUUUGUGUUGAAGGUCAGGAAGAGGGAAAUAGGCUUUGAGCCAUGGCUGCUAUUGGUUAUUCUUCCAUCUGAUGUGCGCUGCACAUGUUUCACUCAAUGGACAGAAAUAGCAAUUGCAUAAACUACUGCUAGUACAUCCGUUGCUGAUACAGGUCAGUACUAUUCUACAACACUAAUGUCAUUAUUUUCUGUGGUAUCUUAAAAGUUUUUCAUAAAUUCAUUCAUAAAAACAGCUUAAACAUACAAGGGCUCAGUGUUAUGAAACCGUUUUAAGACUGUGAUAUAUUAUGAGAAUCAUAAAACCUCCCAACACUGAAGCAGUGAAUAUUUUUUGGGGGGGUUUAUGCAGGACACAGAGUUGGGUCAGUCCAGGAUAACAGUCUGUCUUUUCACUUUAGUCCUGACUGUCCUCGCCAAGCCAGAAGAGAACAAGGUGCGAGCCAGGUUUCACGUUGUGGACCAGUCCUGCCAAAGGAUGUCUGUCAUAAAAGCACUUGUAUCUGUCCUCCUCUCAGCAGCCACACAGAGGUCACUCCCAGAGGUGAUAGUGUGCACUGGCUGAAUAACUGCCCUCUAAAACCAUUUUAAAAGGAAAACAAAAGUGUGCCAUUUUUUCUGUGAUCUAUACUAAAUUCAGCAUUUUUCUCAGUUACUGAACACAUAAUCCUAAAAGACACAUUUGUUAUGUGUAAAUAGAAACAGCUUCCUCUGCAGAACGUCUAUACUGUAGAUGCUUUUUCAGCACAGCGCCUCAGCUAAAACUCUUUUGACACAACUCAAGGGGGGAUAGUUUAAAACUCAUAUUUUAAUUUAGUCAUACCAGAUGACAUGAAAACCCCAGUGACAUUCAUUGCGUGUUACAAAGCCCUCCUCGCUGUAAGUUAUACAACAUUGAAAUAUCUGACAGUAUAUCCUCGGAGGCUCCUUAACCUUAUUUCAGCAGCAGCUGGUCGGCAGCCAAACCAUCCCAGGCGGAUGCAGCUGCCCAGUCUGCUCCGUUCAGCUGCUUAGCAACACCGACUUCAUGGCUCAUACUCCUGUUAUUAAACAUGUGAGACCAGCCACCCACUUGGUUUCUUUUCAUCUUUUUUUAACUAUAGUGAGAGAAAAGAUUCAUUUCCAGCAUUAUAAUAGAUGGUGCAAAGCAGCUGAAGUGUGUCUCCUCCUGCAGCUUUGACCUCAGUUUGCCAUUCUUUUAUUAUCAGGCUCAUCCAAGCAUCCGAAAAAAAGAGUUGAAUGUGAGCCUUUGUCUUCGCUCUCUCCUGAUCAUCCUCUGUGUGUUGCCAAAGGAUCACUGCUGCUGGUGACUGUGUGCUACUGCGCUACUACUACUGCUCCAUGCUGCUCUGGAUAAUGAGGGGAAAAGAUUGCGGUCUGUUUUUCCCAGUUUCUAAAAAUACAAAGGCUAGAAAAAAAGUCACAAAUGAAGAUGAGCCAAAAAGUUUCACCAAAUAUAGUUUUUUUUU
Sebastes umbrosus (honeycomb rockfish) is the source of this 4288-nucleotide RNA transcript. It is a transcript of the gene named janus kinase and microtubule interacting protein 2, with no coding region annotated. The transcript has 25 exons. NCBI's taxonomy places the organism in Eukaryota, Metazoa, Chordata, Actinopteri, Perciformes, Sebastidae. The record is from RefSeq and is a predicted model, not a curated record.